This 581-nucleotide ribosomal RNA is filed under the name uncultured beta proteobacterium. RNAcentral describes it as "bacterial SSU rRNA". It matches the Rfam family "Bacterial small subunit ribosomal RNA", at positions 897 to 1482 of the family's 1533-position model. Lineage: Bacteria; Pseudomonadati; Pseudomonadota; Betaproteobacteria. The record is from RNAcentral.
AAACUCAAAGGAAUUGACGGGGACCCGCACAAGCGGUGGAUGAUGUGGUUUAAUUCGAUGCAACGCGAAAAACCUUACCUACCCUUGACAUGCCUGGAAUUCUGCAGAGAUGCGGAAGUGCCCGAAAGGGAGCCAGGACACAGGUGCUGCAUGGCCGUCGUCAGCUCGUGUCGUGAGAUGUUGGGUUAAGUCCCGCAACGAGCGCAACCCUUGUCAUUAGUUGCUACGAAAGGGCACUCUAAUGAGACUGCCGGUGACAAACCGGAGGAAGGUGGGGAUGACGUCAGGUCAUCAUGGCCCUUAUGGGUAGGGCUACACACGUCAUACAAUGGCCGGUACAGAGGGCUGCCAACCCGCGAGGGGGAGCUAAUCCCAGAAAACCGGUCGUAGUCCGGAUCGCAGUCUGCAACUCGACUGCGUGAAGUCGGAAUCGCUAGUAAUCGCGGAUCAGCUUGCCGCGGUGAAUACGUUCCCGGGUCUUGUACACACCGCCCGUCACACCAUGGGAGCGGGUUCUGCCAGAAGUAGUUAGCCUAACCGCAAGGAGGGCGAUUGCCACGGCAGGGUUCGUGACUGGGGUG